This 77-nucleotide transfer RNA is filed under the name Acidobacteriota bacterium. RNAcentral's name for it is "Acidobacteria bacterium tRNA-Arg". It matches the Rfam family "tRNA". From Rfam's summary of the family: Transfer RNA (tRNA) molecules are approximately 80 nucleotides in length. Their secondary structure includes four short double-helical elements and three loops (D, anti-codon, and T loops). The record is from RNAcentral. RNAcentral also lists the same sequence under 1 other name. Lineage: Bacteria; Pseudomonadati; Acidobacteriota.
GCGCCUGUAGCUCAGGUGGAUAGAGCGGCAGCCUUCUAAGCUGCGGGUCAGGGGUUCGAAUCCCUUCAGGCGCGCCA